RNAcentral lists this ribosomal RNA (671 nucleotides) under Exophiala sp. CBS 128091. Its description in RNAcentral is "eukaryotic LSU rRNA". It matches the Rfam family "Eukaryotic large subunit ribosomal RNA", at positions 147 to 831 of the family's 3401-position model. The record is from RNAcentral. Lineage: Eukaryota; Fungi; Ascomycota; Eurotiomycetes; Chaetothyriales; Herpotrichiellaceae.
AAUUUGUAGAGGAUGUUUCGGGUACCGCCUCGGUCUAAAUUUCUUGGAACAGAAUGUCAAAGAGGGUGAGAAUCCCGUCUUGGACCGGCGGUAGGGCCCAUGUGAAACUCCUUCGACGAGUCGAGUUGUUUGGGAAUGCAGCUCAAAAUGGGUGGUAAAUUUCAUCUAAAGCUAAAUAUUGGCCAGAGACCGAUAGCGCACAAGUAGAGUGAUCGAAAGAUGAAAAGCACUUUGAAAAGAGAGUUAAACAGUAUGUGAAAUUGUUGAAAGGGAAGCGCUUGCAACCAGACUUGAGCGCGGCGGUUCCCCCUUCCUUUUGGUUGGGUUACUCCGCCGUGUCCAGGCCAACAUCGGUUCUGGGGGUCGGUUAAAGGCUCGAGGAAUGUAUCUACUCCUUCGGGGGUAGACUUAUAGCCUCGGGUGUCAUGCGACCUCCCGGGACCGAGGAACGCGCUUCGGCUCGGAUGUUGGCGUAAUGGUUGUCAGCGACCCGUCUUGAAACACGGACCAAGGAGUCUAACAUCUAUGCGAGUGUUUGGGUGUCAAACCCGGAACGCGGAAUGAAAGUGAACGGAGGUAGGAAGCCGCAAGGCUGCACUAUCGACCGAUCCUGAUGUCUUCGGAUGGAUUUGAGUAAGAGCAUAGCUGUUGGGACCCGAAAGAUGGUGAAC